AUUCCAGCUCCAAUAGCGUAUAUUUAAGUUGUUGCAGUUAAAAAGCUCGUAGUUGGAUUUCGGUUAAGAGCGACCGGUCCGCCGUUUGGUGUGCACUGGUUGGUUUUAACUUCCUGUAGAGGACGUGCUCUGGGCUUAACGGUCUGGACUCGGAGUCUACGUGGUUACUUUGAAAAAAUUAGAGUGUUUAAAGCAGGCAUUUUGCUGUGAAUACAUUAGCAUGGAAUAAUAACAUAGGACUUUGGUUCUAUUUUGUUGGUUGGAGGCCAAGGUAAUGAUUAAUAGGGAUAGUUGGGGGUAUUCAUAUUUAAUUGUCAGAGGUGAAAUUCUUGGAUUUAUGAAAGAUGAACUCAUGCGAAAGCAUUUACCAAGGAUGUUUUCAUUA
RNAcentral lists this ribosomal RNA (385 nucleotides) under Stramenopiles sp. MAST-3. RNAcentral's name for it is "partial small subunit ribosomal RNA". It matches the Rfam family "Eukaryotic small subunit ribosomal RNA", at positions 582 to 975 of the family's 1831-position model. The record is from RNAcentral.